GGUGAACGCUGGCGGUAGGCCUAACACAUGCAAGUCGAACGGCAGCACAGUAAGAGCUUGCUCUUACGGGUGGCGAGUGGCGGACGGGUGAGGAAUACAUCGGAAUCUACUUUUUCGUGGGGGAUAACAUAGGGAAACUUACGCUAAUACCGCAUACGACCUACGGGUGAAAGCAGUGGAUCUUCGGACCUUGCGCGAUUGAAUGAGCCGAUGUCGGAUUAGCUAGUUGGCGGGGUAAAGGCCCACCAAGGCGACGAUCCGUAGCUGGUCUGAGAGGAUGAUCAGCCACACUGGAACUGAGACACGGUCCAGACUCCUACGGGAGGCAGCAGUGGGGAAUAUUGGACAAUGGGCGCAAGCCUGAUCCAGCCAUACCGCGUGGGUGAAGAAGGCCUUCGGGUUGUAAAGCCCUUUUGUUGGGAAAGAAAAGCAGCAGGUUAAUACCCCGCUGUUCUGACGGUACCCAAAGAAUAAGCACCGGCUAACUUCGUG
RNAcentral lists this ribosomal RNA (492 nucleotides) under uncultured bacterium. Its description in RNAcentral is "partial 16S ribosomal RNA". It matches the Rfam family "Bacterial small subunit ribosomal RNA", at positions 28 to 507 of the family's 1533-position model. The record is from RNAcentral.